This 2563-nucleotide long non-coding RNA is filed under the name Brassica napus (rape). RNAcentral describes it as "long non-coding RNA (BNAP_LNC009331)". The record is from RNAcentral. Lineage: Eukaryota; Viridiplantae; Streptophyta; Magnoliopsida; Brassicales; Brassicaceae.
UCGUAUUUUCUUCUUCGCUCUCAAUUCUUGGUUUUUCAUCAAUACUAUUGGCCUGGCUCUUACUUUGUUUUUCUCCCACAAUACAUACCUCGUCGAAAAAAUCGUACGUCCUAUCAAAGUCCCUUUGAUUUUGCUUCACUCUGUCUGGUGUUCCUGGACCAAUUUUUGGCUCGUGUAUCUCUGACGCUUCUUCGUCUUUGUUACUUUUCUCACCCCUUGAUUCAAGUGCUUCUUUUUUAUCAUCACAAACAAUAGAAGCAUAAGGCACAGGUAUCUCUUUUGAGGGACUAUAUCGAAUAUUGUCAUCUACAACUUCAACGCGGCCUUGAGGAACAGUUGAACCUAUUAUAUCCGCAGGUUGUAAGGAACUAGGCAGAGAUCCCUCUAAUAGCUUCACGUCAGGCUUAUUCACAGGACUGUGAUUGAUGACAUACUCUAUAUAACCUGAACCAGUUAUAGAAUCACGAGGUCUCGAUGACUCUUGUAAAUCUGAUUGUACUUGUGCUUCACUUUGUUCUUGCGAAUUUGACUGCUCUUGCAAAUGAGAUUGGUCUAUACUGCCAGAUAAAUCCUGCAUAUUAGAGCUACGGGGCAUGUCAACUGUGGAAGUACUCUGAGAAGUGGUAGGUAUGUCAUCAGUUAGAGAACUGAGACGAGCCCUGCACAAAGAGACAGGUUAACAAAUAAGAUUGUGAAGAACCACCACAAUGAAAUAUAGAAGACGAAUGGACGAGAACUACUACGUCUAUAUCUUAAGAUCACCCACCCAUUAGUGUCAUCGGACGUAGACACAGCACGUGAUCUGCAAAUGUUUCUUUGUGGUAACCUCUUUUUCUGUCAUUUCAGAAAAGCACAACUCAGAUACAAAUACAGCAGAACACAGCCAAAUAGCGAACGAAGGAAAAAAACCAUAGCUCUUGAGAUGUCUAACGAAUUUUACUGAGCAAUUCAUUCAGCAAGCAUAACCUAAAUCCAAUAAGAUGAUUACAAACCUUUCUUUUGCGAUGCGCCUGAUCUUUCUGGGCCUUGGCAUCAUCUACUUUACUAUGGUUACCGAGUUCCUUUCUAAAGAAUGUUGGGUCUGAGUAUUUUCUCAGACACGACCCAGGACCACCUGCGUCAAAUCUGCAAAGGGGAAAAAUUAGCCAUUUCAGAAUGCAUUAAUUUCUAUUAAUAUUAAGAUGAAACUAAAAGCUUGUCCCUCACCUGUCAAGCAGAUGCAAAGGAGGAGGAUCUCUACACUGUUCAUAUGUUUCCAUAACACAAAGUGGCAAAUCACUCUGAACAAAAUGUCUUUGCCCAUUCCUUAUACGAGGAUGCCACUCACAGCCUACAACAGAAACAAAAGAAAAACGAAAAAAAUAAGAACUUUUCUGUACAAAAGAUCACAGAUAUAUAUAUCACCUGAUACUGUAGAUGAUAUGUCUUCAUAUAAGAUUUCAUAGCAACAGAGGUACAGAACAGAAAUCUGAAAAUAAUAUAGACAUAGAAAAUCAAAAGAAGACUAGAGAUGAGAGUAAAAGCCAAACCUGCAGUGUAUGCAAAAUGAAUGUGGCUUGUCUGUGACAGCACAGCCUUUUCAAGAGGUGACAACGCUGACUCUAUCCGUUUAACACGGCUUGUCAGUUUCUGACACCUAGACGCCGUAACAGUCACUUCUUCUUGUAUCCCAUUAAAUACCUCUGCGGAAAAUCUACAUGCAAGAAAUACCACCACUUGGUUAAAUAACUCUCUAUCACUUCGAGCAAUGCCACUUCACUAAUCUCCCCGUGUACACAACCAAAACCUCACUAUUCCUUGUUUCGAUUGUUAAGGAACUUCAGUUUCUCCUCAUCAAUAGAUUAUAUGUCAAAGCACAUACAAGUUAACUAUGUUGAGGUACUCUCUCAUCAUUCACUAAUUAACACUUAACCAGCUAUACUAGCUCUACGAACUGAGCUCAAAAUCAAAACUAUUGCGAAAAAGAUCUUCUACCAUUUCUUCAUAUGGUAUAUCUUCUGAUCCACCAUUGUUGUCACUGCUAGCAUCUUCAGAACAGUAAGUGCUGAUAUCCCCAAAAUAAUGCUCCAGUUUUGGUUUUGGUAUUCCAUCAAACUCACUUUCUGAUUCAGAUUCAAUUGUAUUACGUGCAUCUACAAACUCAUCUGCUUCACUCGUAUUUUCUUCUUCGCUCUCAAUUCUUGGUUUUUCAUCAAUACUAUUGGCCUGGCUCUUACUUUGUUUUUCUCCCACAAUACAUACCUCGUCGAAAAAAUCGUACGUCCUAUCAAAGUCCCUUUGAUUUUGCUUCACUCUGUCUGGUGUUCCUGGACCAAUUUUUGGCUCGUGUAUCUCUGACGCUUCUUCGUCUUUGUUACUUUUCUCACCCCUUGAUUCAAGUGCUUCUUUUUUAUCAUCACAAACAAUAGAAGCAUAAGGCACAGGUAUCUCUUUUGAGGGACUAUAUCGAAUAUUGUCAUCUACAACUUCAACGCGGCCUUGAGGAACAGUUGAACCUAUUCUAUCCGCAGGUUGUAAGGAACUAGGCAGAGAUCCCUCUAAUAGCUUCACGUCAGGCUUAUUC